Long non-coding RNA from Cavia porcellus (domestic guinea pig), 546 nucleotides. RefSeq lists it as uncharacterized. NCBI's taxonomy places the organism in Eukaryota, Metazoa, Chordata, Mammalia, Rodentia, Caviidae. The transcript is spliced from 3 exons. The record is from RefSeq and is a predicted model, not a curated record.
UAGCUAGAGGCAGUAAGAGCCUACGGCAAAGCUGGGGGUACUUCAGUCUAUCCAGGCUAGUGGGAAACAUGAUCAAGCAGGGAUAAUUGGUGGUUUACACUCAAAACUCUUGGAAAAUCAUUUCGUCCCAUAUUGCCAAAGUGCCCUUCAACACCUUACAGCUGGAUCCAUGCAGGCAUCCCUGUUUUAGCUCAGGUAUCACAAUGCUGACAGCUGUUGGAAGAAGAUACAUGGACCUGCAUAAUGCUGCUGCUGCAGGUGUGUGUCCAAGACGCUCAGCUGAGCAUAUGAUACCAGUCACGGACUUUCUACAUGCUCCUCUCCUUUAACACCUUGGCUAUGUCUGACCUCUAUCACAGUAAGCUAUUUCUCUUCCUUAUAGCAGGUGAUCUAGUCUUCUCAUUGGCAGAUAAAUCCAACACAGCCUUGCUUAAUUUCCCACUCUCCCACCAAUAAAUCCAGCUUUGUGUGUUUUUCUCUUACCUCUGAGAAAAAUGUAUCUCACUGUUCAUUCACUAAGCUUUCUUACUUGAAAUUUACCAUGAA